UUCCGGUUGAUCCUGCCGGACCUGACUGCUAUCGGAUUGAUACUAAGCCAUGCGAGUCUUUGUAGUAAUACAAGGCAGACGGCUCAGUAACACGUAGUCAACCUACCCUAUGGACGAGAAUAAUCUCGGGAAACUGAGCAUAAUUCUCGGUAGAUCAUAAUGCCUGGAAUGGUUUAUGGUUAAAAUGAUUCUUCGCCAUAGGAUGGACUGCGGCCUAUCAGCUUGUUGGUGAGGUAAUGGCCCACCAAGGCGAUUACAGGUACGGGCUCUGAGAGGAGAAGCCCGGAGAUGGGUACUGAGACACGGACCCAGGCCCUAUGGGGCGCAGCAGGCGAGAAAACUUUGCAAUGUGCGAAAGCACGACAAGGUUAAUCCGAGUGAUUUCUGCUAAAGAAAUCUUUUACCAGUCGUAAAACCACUGGCGAAUAAGGGGUGGGCAAGUUCUGGUGUCAGCCGCCGCGGUAAAACCAGCACCUCAAGUGGUCAGGAUGAUUAUUGGGCCUAAAGCAUCCGUAGCCCGCUUUGUAAGUUUUCGGUUAAAUCCAUGUGCUCAACGCAUGGGCUGCCGAAAAUACUGCAUUGCUAGGGAGUGGGAGAGGUAGACGGUACUCGGUAGGAAGGGGUAAAAUCCUUUGAUCUAUUGAUGACCACCUGUGGCGAAGGCGGUCUACCAGAACACGUUCGACGGUGAGGGAUGAAAGCUGGGGGAGCAAACCGGAUUAGAUACCCGGGUAGUCCCAGCUGUAAACGAUGCAGACUCGAUGAUGCAUUGGCAUAAUAGCCAGUGCAGUGUCGCAGGGAAGCCGUUAAGUCUGCCGCCUGGGAAGUACGUACGCAAGUAUGAAACUUAAAGGAAUUGGCGGGGGAGCACCACAAGGGGUGAAGCCUGCGGUUCAAUUGGAUUCAACGCCGGG
Molecule: ribosomal RNA, 914 nt
Filed under: uncultured marine archaeon
Lineage: Archaea
Description: bacterial SSU rRNA
Rfam family: Archaeal small subunit ribosomal RNA
Source: RNAcentral